GCUGAAUAUUAAUACAGACAACAUUGUAAGUGUAUUUUAGUACAGUGUUUCAUCCACAGGCAUUAAUGAAACGAUAGUUCUUUGUUUCCAGCAUUUCUUUAUAAAGGUACUUGAUUCUUGGUUCUUGAUCCCCAACCCUUUUGACUGAUGUGCUUUGUGAAAUUGGCUUGACGUCUUUCUCACUUUCUCACUCUCUCUUUAUUUACCCCACAGCAUCUGUAUAGUCAAUCUAGUCCUUAAUAUUUUCCCUCCUUUGCAUUAAAGACACAUUUUCAGCCCUUUCUCUUUCUUCACCGACCCUCCAGUUUCCUAAGUGCAUGUGUUACUCUGUCUUACCCACUGGUGCUGGGCCUGCGGACAGCCAUCAUCAUUUUAACCCCUGAUUCCAUGCCCUGGGGCCAGAUCAGACUGUGGCCUCUCACCUCACUAGCUCCGGCCUCGUGGUGAACGGUACUCCUCCAGCCUUGCCAGCAUGUCUUGAUUUGGAGUGCCUUAAGAGAAUGUUUUAAUUGUCACUUCUCAUUUAGGGGGAGAGUGACAUCUCAGGGUGGACAGGCGGGAAAAAGGCGGGCCGCAGUAAUCAGAGGCGAUGAAGACAUCUUACAUGCUGCAACACAGAAUUAUGGAAAAAAAUUCCCAAAGCUGUCUUGCUCUAGAGAACAUGAUUUGAUCAAGUCCAAAGUUUCAAGUCUACCAUAAAUCAGGCAGAAAAACAGAAAGAGAUACUGAAAAAGUGACAGAGGUCUGUAUUUCCCAGCUGAAAACACCUACUUGUACAGUACUUUUUUUCCCUCCAGCCUUUUUGACUAGCUUAACCAACAAUAUUUCCCUGCGCAACUAGCUUCACCAGUUAUGUUAAAUGGAUAAUUCAUCCAAAAAUAACAAUUCUCUUGUCAUUUACAAAUUUUUGUGUCAAACCAAAUGACAUUCAUUCAUCCGUAGAACACAAAAUGAAAUGUUUUGUUCACUUUUAUUGCAUCAUUUUUUCCCCAUACAAAAGCAAAUGGUGACUUAAGUUUUCAGAACAGAAUGUGUCCUGUGUGAAUGGUGUCACGUGUCUUUUAGCCACUUGGCAUAUGCUUGAUUAAUGCAUGCAGAGGCAAAACAGGUAAAAACAAAAACCCAACAACAACAAAAAAAACUUAGUUUGUUAGGAAAACUUCAGUUCUUGCUUUCUUCGCAGUGCAUUGUUUCCUAUAAAGGUUAGAGAGGGAGAAGCAUAGAUAGAGGUCUGAGAUUGGAGUCUCAGGUGCUCUCUCUCUCUCUCUGUGUGUGUGUGUGUGUGUGUGUGUGUGUGUGUGUGUGUGUGUGUGUGUGUGUGUGUGUGUGAGGUCUCUCAUC
Molecule: long non-coding RNA, 1341 nt
Organism: Cyprinus carpio (common carp)
Lineage: Eukaryota; Metazoa; Chordata; Actinopteri; Cypriniformes; Cyprinidae
Source: Ensembl